Long non-coding RNA from Daphnia magna, 3154 nucleotides. RefSeq lists it as uncharacterized. NCBI's taxonomy places the organism in Eukaryota, Metazoa, Arthropoda, Branchiopoda, Diplostraca, Daphniidae. The record is from RefSeq and is a predicted model, not a curated record. The transcript has 4 exons.
CUACCAUAGCAACCCUUUUUUCUGUUUUUUUUAAUUCUCCUGCAAGUUUUACUCGACUAUUAGAUAACAAAGGGAGAAAAAUGUACAUAGACACGAUACGUUUCCGGACAUCAAUUCAACAUGCUAUCAAAUCGUUAGAGUUCCACGUUCUUUUGUCAACUCAACGGUAGCUGCUUAGCACCAAGAAAAACGCAUGGUACCAUUGCACUGAAAACAAUUCUUUGUUUCUGGCAGCCCGCUCCCACUUCUUCUCAGAAUGAAGUGUUAAAGCUAACAGAACUGGCAAUAUUUUAAAUGUAAAGAGAGCUUAUCCAUCAACCUAAAUCAUGCUGUCAUUUAUUCUUCAAAGAGCAGCAGUAGAAUUAGAGCAAAAACAUUUAAAAUGAUCAGGUGACAUCUAAAUCCCAUGGAGAGUAAGAUCGUGACGUGCAGUCCAUUAAGAUCACGAAAGCGUUUUUCUUUCUCCAGCUGUUUUGUUUGUCUUUUUUUUUAUUAUUAUUAUUUUCCUUGGAAAGAGUAAAACACGUACAUGGUAGACUUUUGCUGGGUGGUCGUGAGGGAGUUGCGUGCCACCGAACCAAACGUCCGAUUGAAUUACAACACUAUUGCAACGUCAACAUUCUGAGCCAGCACACGUGCAUUGAUUGAUGGUGAAUCAUAUACAGCUCGUGUUUUAAAAAAAACCAUCAAAGACGAGACUUAAGUUGAACCACAACAUCCAACUCAAAUCAGAAUCAGAGAAGUUUCUUUCAGUUAUGUUUCUCAAUUUCUGUUUACUUUUACUUCUUUUCAUUACAGAUUAAACAUUGAAUACUAUCGCCAUUGACGAAAAAGGUCCUACAUUAAUGCAGUCGUGAUGGGAAAUCACAAAAGGCACGCGGUCCACGUCGACCGGAUCGAUCCUUUUGAUCCAUCCACCGUUACGUUCAAAGCUUUCUCUUCAACAUCUCCAUCCAUUUUUUUUCUUUCCCCUGCCUCUACUCAUCCACCAAACUCAAUUCAUCGUUAGGUGAUCGCAGAUCCUGAUUGAGACGGAGAGUGGGAGGGGAAUAUCUUUUGGCCUUGACGACGGCACGGCGAGAUGCAACGAAUGAAACGAUGAUGGUGAAAAGACGUGAAUAGAAUUUUGCCUGGAUCAAACGCGUUCGUUUCUAGUCAACAGUCGCCCUAACGAUCGACCGAUUUCUUCUGAUGACUUUGAAAAUAAAUGAUUGUGGAGUAAAUGCGUUUUUUUUGUGUGACAAAGUCGACAAAAUUUGAAAGAGCAGGAGAUUGAUUUUGUUAUGAAAAUGAUGAUUGCCCCCUUUUAUUUUCAGAAAUAAUAUUGUACGAUGUCUUAACGAGUGCGGCUCAUUAAUUUUCCUAAUUUAUUUUCCUGUUUCUUCCCGUUUUUUGUUUGUUUUAGAUCUUACCCUUGUUUCCUGUUUCACGCCUAAUCCGGCCGGCUCCCUAUAAUCUACGUUCCGGCACCCAAUUAAAUGGCCGUAGGCUUCACACAACGAAACACCAGGAUUAAAUACAAACGAAAAAUUAAGAUGAAAAUGCUGUGAUGGUCGUUAAGGACGUCCAGGGAAUCUUUCAAUUUAAUUCUUUUUCUUCGUCUUCAUCUUCUUUCAUUUGUUUUAGGAGCAUGCAAAGUGAAGCCCUAUCUGUGGGACGAUCCAAUCAGAGGGGAAUUUCAACAGACAUGGAUCUCGCGAUCGGUUCCAUAAUUCCACGAUGGGGCAAAGCGAGGGCCGUUGUGAUUGGUCUGGUUGUUCAUCUCGCAGGAUCUUUGCGGACACGUCAUAAAACGAUGGUCCCUCCCUUCCUUCCUCGGAAUGGGCCGAUCAAGGGAAGUGGAUGUAUCGAUUCUUAGGAAAGAGGAAAAUAGAGAACCGAAUAAUUCAGACGUUCGACUCCUCUCCAUCACGUGAUUUCUUUCUUUUCCACUGGCCUUAUUUCCCGUAUACAAUUUUUGUGUUGUCUGUUUUGCUCAGUGUGAGAUGGGGAUGAAAAGAGGCAGUCCUAAUGCGAUCCAUCUUCGACCUGAUGGACUGUCACGAAUAUUAGACGCUUGUUCUUCUUCUUCCUUUAGCUUCACAGCCAAUCAAUAAAACCUUUCGGGAAUUCUCUGCCGCCUUCACCGACAAAGGUCUACUCAGCCGCAAACGCCUUCCUUCGGGGCACGCAUUUCCGGCCGGCCGAUGACGGAAGCGUGUCCUUUCCUGCCACUGGAACGCAAGAAAAGAAAGCGCCAAAGACGAAAGCGUCUUGUUAUUGCAAAUAUAUUUCUUUAACAGGCUACAGUGAGUAUGCACGGUAGUGUCAAUGGAUAAAGGUACCAAAUGAAUAGGUCAAUUCAUAAGAGAUAGAAGAAAAAAAGGAGAGGAAAGACUGGGAGGACAAAAUAACGAGAGCAUAGGUAUAUAUAUUUAUGUAUAAUCAGGAAAAUGGUGGUUUAAAGCAAUCAUUUUUGUCAUGGUUUCGAUUCAUCCAAUUUGCGGAGCUGCAACAAAAACGCAAGAGAGAAAUCGAUUCACAAAAAAACGAAACUUGCAGCGCAAUUUUUGGAUCAUACAACACAUGUUGUCUUCCUUGUUAUGGUUUCUCCAUCGUUGGGGAGAGACAGAGUCACCUGCAGGGCAGAUCAAGAAUGAACAAAUCCAGACACAACAAGGGUUGAAUUGUUUUACAAAUGUUAACAGGAAACGAGUGAAACAGGCAGACGAGGAAGAUUUUUGUUUUUUUUUUUUUGUUCUUUUGUUUUGUUUUUUUUUAAGAGGAGAGAGUGCGGGUAUCAUAGCAUCAAGGAGCAAUACACGCAAGGUAAAGUUAAAAGACACACGGGAACAUCUUUAUAACAAGGAAGAGAGGGGGGGGGGCACUUUUGCAUAGAUUUGUCCAUAUGAUAGACAAAUGCUUUUCGUCAUAUUCUCCGCGUAUUUUUCAAAAUAUCAAAUCUCUCUUAAACUUGAUCAUAGUUUCAUUUCAAGGACUUUCAACAUAUUUUUCUUUUGUUUUCCUUGUUAUUUUAUCUCCGUCUAACAACGACAACACAAAUGUCUCAAUUUGAAUCGACUGGAUUCAUCGCAAGUCUAAAAUACAAAACAAAAAAAAACAACCUACGGUCGAUCAGGUGGACAAGGAAGGGAAUCCCAAUUAAGAAACAUGA